Callorhinus ursinus (northern fur seal) is the source of this 75-nucleotide non-coding RNA. Lineage: Eukaryota; Metazoa; Chordata; Mammalia; Carnivora; Otariidae. The record is from RefSeq and is a predicted model, not a curated record.
CGGGCAGCACAGUACAGAAUCAGUGUCUUUCAUUUCCCCAGUGAGAAGGAAAUGCUGUUCCUGUUGAUUAGCACU